Long non-coding RNA from Drosophila mojavensis, 520 nucleotides. RefSeq lists it as uncharacterized. The transcript has 2 exons. NCBI's taxonomy places the organism in Eukaryota, Metazoa, Arthropoda, Insecta, Diptera, Drosophilidae. The record is from RefSeq and is a predicted model, not a curated record.
UGACAACAGAGGCACCUGGGAUUCUGUAUUAAAAAAAUAUAUAGAAAUAUUUACACUUUAUCAUUUGCUUAGAUUUGACUCAAUCUCUAAUAAAUUAUAUUAUAAAUUAGCUACAUAUGUAAGCUUGACUAAUUGCUAAUUUCCAAUGAUACGUUUAUCAGUUACGCAACUUUAUGGAUCUCAAUAAUAUGCGAAAAAGUAUGACGUUGUAGAAUUAGUCUUAAGAAGUCUGCACGAUGAAGCUGAUAUUCGUUUUAAUUUGCACUUUGUACUUGGAGUUUGCAAUCGCGGAAGAAUUCUUGAGUUAUUUUGAUAAAAUGUGUUCAACUGAUAUUCAGCCCGGAAAAUGUGGAAAACGAAAUUCAUAUUACUUCAACAAAGAAAAGCAAAGGUGUGUAAAAGCUAAACCGGAUAAUCGCUGUGGACCUUUUACAAUUCGAAGAAGAUGCCAAAAAAUUUGCAAUUGCCUUCGUAAAAAAUGUUCAAUUAAAAACUGUAGAUAAUUAUAUAUUUUAAUAUA